RNAcentral lists this ribosomal RNA (365 nucleotides) under uncultured soil bacterium. Its description in RNAcentral is "bacterial SSU rRNA". It matches the Rfam family "Bacterial small subunit ribosomal RNA", at positions 26 to 419 of the family's 1533-position model. The record is from RNAcentral.
AGAACGAACGCUGGCGGCAUGCCUAAUACAUGCAAGUCGAACGAACACUUCGGUGUUAGUGGCGCACGGGUGCGUAACGCGUGGGAAUCUGCCCUUGGGUUCGGAAUAACAGUUGGAAACGACUGCUAAUACCGGAUGAUAUCGAAAGAUCAAAGAUUUAUCGCCCAGGGAUGAGCCCGCGUAGGAUUAGCUAGUUGGUGAGGUAAAGGCUCACCAAGGCGACGAUCCUUAGCUGGUCUGAGAGGAUGAUCAGCCACACUGGGACUGAGACACGGCCCAGACUCCUACGGGAGGCAGCAGUAGGGAAUAUUGGACAAUGGGCGCAAGCCUGAUCCAGCAAUGCCGCGUGGGUGAUGAAGGCCUUA